This 755-nucleotide ribosomal RNA is filed under the name uncultured Leuconostoc sp. Its description in RNAcentral is "bacterial SSU rRNA". It matches the Rfam family "Bacterial small subunit ribosomal RNA", at positions 19 to 757 of the family's 1533-position model. The record is from RNAcentral. Lineage: Bacteria; Bacillati; Bacillota; Bacilli; Lactobacillales; Lactobacillaceae.
CUGGCUCAGGAUGAACGCUGGCGGCGUGCCUAAUACAUGCAAGUCGAACGCGCAGCGAGAGGUGCUUGCACCUUUCAAGCGAGUGGCGAACGGGUGAGUAACACGUGGAUAACCUGCCUCAAGGCUGGGGAUAACAUUUGGAAACAGAUGCUAAUACCGAAUAAAACUUAGUAUCGCAUGAUAUCAAGUUAAAAGGCGCUACGGCGUCACCUAGAGAUGGAUCCGCGGUGCAUUAGUUAGUUGGUGGGGUAAAGGCUUACCAAGACGAUGAUGCAUAGCCGAGUUGAGAGACUGAUCGGCCACAUUGGGACUGAGACACGGCCCAAACUCCUACGGGAGGCUGCAGUAGGGAAUCUUCCACAAUGGGCGCAAGCCUGAUGGAGCAACGCCGCGUGUGUGAUGAAGGCUUUCGGGUCGUAAAGCACUGUUGUAUGGGAAGAAAUGCUAAAAUAGGGAAUGAUUUUAGUUUGACGGUACCAUACCAGAAAGGGACGGCUAAAUACGUGCCAGCAGCCGCGGUAAUACGUAUGUCCCGAGCGUUAUCCGGAUUUAUUGGGCGUAAAGCGAGCGCAGACGGUUGAUUAAGUCUGAUGUGAAAGCCCGGAGCUCAACUCCGGAAUGGCAUUGGAAACUGGUUAACUUGAGUGUUGUAGAGGUAAGUGGAACUCCAUGUGUAGCGGUGGAAUGCGUAGAUAUAUGGAAGAACACCAGUGGCGAAGGCGGCUUACUGGACAACAACUGACGUGAGGCUCGAA